UUCAAUAAUCAAUUGCUUUUCAUUAAUUUGACGGGGAACAUCGUCGCGUCGUGACGGACAAGGGUUGCGUUGUAUUGGUACCAGUUUGUACUUACUUAUUCUACAGGGUUCGUAUAUGUUACAACUGAGAUUUAGGAGAUUUAUCAUGAUGAGUUACACUGAGAAGCAACGCAUAAAAAUAGUAGACUUUUAGUAUCAAAGUGAUAAGUCCAUUAUCGGCCGCCACGUUCGCCCGAUCUUUCGGCUUUCCAUUACUUUCUGUGGGAAAUUUACUAUCUAAAGGAAUAGGUACAUGUGAAUAGACCAUGUACACUUGAAGAGCUCAAGGAAAACAUUCUUGCAGAAACUGGAAUAUUAGAACAUUAUAUAAUACUCAAACAUUAAACAUUGUUAUGAAACAUGCUAUCGAAAGAAUCUGACAUUGUUAGACAGUAAACAGAGGGUAUAUAAAAAAUAUUAUUAACUCUCAUACAUAAACUCCAUACUAUUAUAAGCUUUAAAUAUUUAGCAAUAUCGUACAAACAUGUUAUAAAAUAAGACAAUUAUUUAUGU
Long non-coding RNA from Bombus impatiens (common eastern bumble bee), 552 nucleotides. RefSeq lists it as uncharacterized. The record is from RefSeq and is a predicted model, not a curated record. NCBI's taxonomy places the organism in Eukaryota, Metazoa, Arthropoda, Insecta, Hymenoptera, Apidae. The transcript has 2 exons.